CUUAUCCCUAAAAGCACUGCAGGUGUGUCUCAUGAGCAUCAGAGGUGGCAAGAGGAGAGAGGCUAUAUCAGUGUUCUGAUAUAGGAACAUCUGAAUGAUUAGCAGACUAACAUU
Small nucleolar RNA from Rattus norvegicus (Norway rat), 114 nucleotides. Ensembl annotates it as small nucleolar RNA SNORA17. The record is from Ensembl. NCBI's taxonomy places the organism in Eukaryota, Metazoa, Chordata, Mammalia, Rodentia, Muridae.